Molecule: ribosomal RNA, 253 nt
Filed under: uncultured bacterium
Lineage: Bacteria
Description: partial 16S ribosomal RNA
Rfam family: Bacterial small subunit ribosomal RNA
Source: RNAcentral
GACGUAGGGCGCGAGCGUUGUCCGGAUUUAUUGGGCGUAAAGAGCUCGUAGGCGGCUUGUCGCGUCGUCCGUGAAAACUUGGGGCUCAACCCCAAGCUUGCGGUCGAUACGGGCAGGCUAGAGUUCGGUAGGGGAGACUGGAAUUCCUGGUGUAGCGGUGAAAUGCGCAGAUAUCAGGAGGAACACCGGUGGCGAAGGCGGGUCUCUGGGCCGAUACUGACGCUGAGGCACGAAAGCCAGGGGAGCAAACGGG